CCGCAUCAUACAGGCCUUACAUGAAACCCGGAAACACACCACAAUACGUAAACCGCGAAAGUAACUACCCACCAUCAAUAUUACGAUCAAUACCGCAAGCCAUAAACAAUAGACUAUCCAACAUAUCAUCGGAUAAGCAAUCAUUUGAUUCAGCCAUUCCCCCAUAUCAAGAAGCACUACAAAAAAAAGCGGUUACGACUACAAGUUUGAUUACAAUCCCCAACCACUAAACGAUCUAGAAGCAGAAAUAUAAUAUGGUUCAACCCCCCAUACAACUCCAAUGUCAUCACCAACAUUGGAUACAAAUUUCUUCAAGCUAUCGACGAUUCCUUCCCUCCUAACCGCCCUCUACACAAGAUAUUUAAUCGAAACACUUUGAAAUUAAGCUGCAGCUGCAUGCCUAACGUUCAUUGUCUUGUCUCUGGUCAUACAAGACAAUACUCAACAAACAAAACAAAACUGAAACAACUAAGAAUCAAACGACUGAAAAGAGUAGUGAAUGCAAUUGCCGUAAGAAAGAUUCCUGUCCUCUCCCCAGUAAAUGCUUAACAAGCAGCAUUGUUUAUCAAGCAACUGUGACUAGAAACGAUACAAAAGAGGAAAAGACCAAUGUAGGGCAUACAGAAGGGGAAUUCAAAACAAGGUACAAUGGUCACACCAGUUCCUUCAGAAACUCCAGAUACAAACAUGCUACUGAACUAAGUAAAUAUGUCUGGCAUUUGAAAGAGUCUAGCGUAAAAUACUAAAUGGAGAAUUAUGAAAAAGUGUAAAAGUUACUCAAACAAAACCAAACGAUGCAACUUAUGCCUGCACGAAAAAUUUCCAAUUAUUUAUUAUCCUAAACUCAGCUCCAUGAACUCUAGAAAUUAACUAUUGUCAAAAUGUAGACACCGGAACAAAUUCCUGUUGAGCAA
This is a non-coding RNA of Paramuricea clavata, 914 nucleotides long. The record is from the annotation of a GenBank genome assembly. NCBI's taxonomy places the organism in Eukaryota, Metazoa, Cnidaria, Anthozoa, Malacalcyonacea, Plexauridae.